UGAGGAAUAUUGGACAAUGGGGGCAACCCUGAUCCAGCCAUGCCGCGUGAGUGAUGAAGGCCCUAGGGUUGUAAAACUCUUUUAGUGGGGAAAAUAAUGAUGGUACCCACAGAAAAAGCUCCGGCUAACUUCGUGCCAGCAGCCGCGGUAAUACGAAGGGAGCUAGCGUUACUCGGAAUUACUGGGCGUAAAGCGCAUGUAGGCGGAACUACAAGUCAGAGGUGAAAUCCCAAGGCUUAACCUUGGAAUUGCCUUUGAAACUGUAGUUCUUGAGAUUGUCAGAGGAUAGUGGAAUUUCCAGUGUAGAGGUGAAAUUCGUAGAUAUUGGAAAGAACACCAGUGGCGAAGGCGACUGUCUGGGACAAUACUGACGCUGAGAUGCGAAAGCGUGGGGAGCAAA
Molecule: ribosomal RNA, 400 nt
Filed under: uncultured bacterium
Lineage: Bacteria
Description: bacterial SSU rRNA
Rfam family: Bacterial small subunit ribosomal RNA
Source: RNAcentral